RNAcentral lists this long non-coding RNA (244 nucleotides) under Elaeis guineensis (African oil palm). RNAcentral describes it as "long non-coding RNA (EGUI_LNC012308)". The record is from RNAcentral. Lineage: Eukaryota; Viridiplantae; Streptophyta; Magnoliopsida; Arecales; Arecaceae.
GUAUCUCUUCGGCCAAUCGGCUUUCUCGGUGCUGUGUGCUACAACUCCUCAUCGAAUCUCUUGUUGAAGUCUACUGACUUUUUUUUCGACCUCAUCAAAUUUCUUUUGAGCCUUUUGAAGUCUCUUUCCCUGAUCAAUGGCCUUUCUUUCGAAAAAUUUAAAUUUUUUCUCUAGGCUCUUAAUACGAGCUUUAAUCUUAACCGCUGUCAUUAGAGAAAGAAGAGUGGCCAGUAAAGGAGUAGCA